AACGAACGCUGGCGGCAGGCCUAACACAUGCAAGUCGAACGCCCUAGCAAUAGGGAGUGGCAGACGGGUGAGUAACACGUGGGAACCUUCCCUAUAGUACGGAAUAGCUCAGGGAAACUUGAAGUAAUACCGUAUACGCCCGAGAGGGGAAAGAUUUAUCGCUAUAGGAUGGGCCCGCGUCGGAUUAGCUAGUUGGUGAGGUAAUGGCCCACCAAGGCGACGAUCCGUAGCUGGUUUGAGAGAACGACCAGCCACACUGGGACUGAGACACGGCCCAGACUCCUACGGGAGGCAGCAGUGGGGAAUAUUGGACAAUGGGCGCAAGCCUGAUCCAGCCAUGCCGCGUGAGUGAUGAAGGCCUUAGGGUUGUAAAGCUCUUUUAGCAGGGAAGAUAAUGACUGUACCUGCAGAAUAAAGCUCCGGCUAACUUCGUGCCAGCAGCCGC
This 445-nucleotide ribosomal RNA is filed under the name uncultured bacterium. RNAcentral's name for it is "bacterial SSU rRNA". It matches the Rfam family "Bacterial small subunit ribosomal RNA", at positions 29 to 518 of the family's 1533-position model. The record is from RNAcentral.